This 83-nucleotide transfer RNA is filed under the name Chitinophagaceae bacterium. Its description in RNAcentral is "tRNA-Tyr". It matches the Rfam family "tRNA". From Rfam's summary of the family: Transfer RNA (tRNA) molecules are approximately 80 nucleotides in length. Their secondary structure includes four short double-helical elements and three loops (D, anti-codon, and T loops). Further hydrogen bonds mediate the characteristic L-shaped molecular structure. tRNAs have two regions of fundamental functional importance: the anti-codon, which is responsible for specific mRNA codon recognition, and the 3' end, to which the tRNAs corresponding amino acid is attached (by aminoacyl-tRNA synthetases). tRNAs cope with the degeneracy of the genetic code in two manners: having more than one tRNA (with a specific anti-codon) for a particular amino acid; and 'wobble' base-pairing, i.e. permitting non-standard base-pairing at the 3rd anti-codon position. The record is from RNAcentral. Lineage: Bacteria; Pseudomonadati; Bacteroidota; Chitinophagia; Chitinophagales; Chitinophagaceae.
GGGCAGAUGGCCGAGUGGUUAAAGGCGACAGACUGUAAAUCUGUUCUCUUCGGAGUACGAAGGUUCGAAUCCUCCUCUGCCCA